Gossypium arboreum is the source of this 937-nucleotide RNA transcript. It is a transcript of the gene named protein NDR1-like, with no coding region annotated. The record is from RefSeq and is a predicted model, not a curated record. NCBI's taxonomy places the organism in Eukaryota, Viridiplantae, Streptophyta, Magnoliopsida, Malvales, Malvaceae. The transcript is spliced from 2 exons.
AGUCAGCUAUAGGGUUUGGGUAAGUUGGUAGGUACGCCCAUAUGAAAUUAAUUUUGACCUAUUAUUUUAUAUCAAGUGAAGUCUUUAUUUAAUGACACUACCAUAUCUUAUUCACAAAAACAAAAGAAAAAAAAAAGAACAGCUUUAUUACAUUAUUUUUUUAAAAUUAAAAGUUAGCUAAUAAUUCUUUAUAUGCUGUGCUUUUCAAAGCCAACAUGUCCUUGCCCCUUCAUUUUCCAUCUUUGUCUUUCUUCUGAAUCUCGUAUCUUUUGCAAAACUUCACCGAUUUCCAGCCGCCGGAAAAACAUGUCGGCUUCCCGUAACCAAGGAGGUUGUGGAUGUUGUGGCGGCAUCUUUAGUUUGGGGAUGUCGGCACUUUUCAUGUGGCUAUGGAUACAUACUUCAAACCCCAAAUGUUCCAUUCAAACUCUGUCCUUGCCUUCCCUUCGCAGCGCCUCGAACCUCACAGCUGGUCCUACCUUAAGCCUCACGCUAAGGGUUUUACCAGGGUUACAGAAAGAAGGCUACAAAGCCUGGUCAAGGCACCGCUAACACCACGGUGGCUUUACGAGCGGUGUCGGAGAACGGAACAGGAGUUUUCCGGGUUGAUAUGGCGACGGCGGUGAAGUUUAAGACCUUGUAUGGUUAUUCGAAGAGGCAUAAGAUUAGGAUUGGAGCAGAUGUGGUGGUCAACGCUAGUGGUGUUAAGGUCGAUCGUAAAGGGAUCAGGCUUAGAUCUAUGGCACCCAAGAUGGGAAAUUCUUGUGUGGUGCUGCUUGGAGCUUUGUUCAAUUUCUUGCUCUUCGCUUUGCUUGAUUUUUGGUGAGUUGUUUUUCAUGGUUUUAGCAUAUUUUUAGAUGCUUUGUUGUAGCUGAGAAAAAGAGAGAGAAAAUGGUGAUGUUAACAGCUUUAACUUAAUUGAAUUAUUUGUAUCAAA